AUGCGAGGCCUGAUGGAGCCAAGAGCUUGGCGGAGCCGCCAAGUUGCACUGGGAGCGGUGGGCUUGGGGAAAGAAAGCUCUGCUCCUCGUUACCCCUCGCAGAGCACCGUGAGCUGGGAAGCGGCAGAAAUAGAGGAGGAGAGCCCAGCCACCCAAACGCAGGCUGUGUCGGGGGGGCUGGCGGCACGGCCGCCCCCUCGCCCCGCAGCCCCACAUCGGGUCUCGGAGGUACGACGGGCCGCUCCCCACACCUGCGGCAAGCAGCUGCCUCACCCCGGCCAUCCCGGGGGGGGGUUCCCCGAGCCCCACGGCUUGGCCGGGCGCUGGCUCCACGGGGCAGAGAGGCAACAGCGGGCACCGGCGGGAUGGAGAAGCACGGAGCCAGGCUGCGGGUCCGCGGGUGACUCGGGUGUGGGUGCUGAGCUGCCAGGCACGGCUCCCCCAAAGCGGGGCCACGACGGGGCGAGGCAGAGCCCACCGCGGCCAGCACCAGGACCAGCACCAGCACCAGCAGCACCGGGGCCCCUCGGCCUCGCCGGCUUCGAGCCCCGGAGGCAGCACCAGCAGCAGCAGCGGCAGCACCAGGCCGGAGCUCGGCGUCCCCGGGGCCUCGCCGCCCUUUGUCUGCGGGCCCCGCUCCGCCUGCCUCCUGCCUCCCGGCCCCCCCCGCUCCCGUUACCGGCCCCGUACCUGCAUGCCCCGCCGCGGGCCCCGCUCCGGCUCCGCUCCGCCCCGCCGCCAGGCCGCCGCCACCACCGCGGCCACCGCCACCGCCGCUCGGCUCAGCCCAGCCCGGCCCGGCCCGGCCCGGCCCGCCCCGCACCCAGCGCCGCCCCCGGGCCCGCCCGGCUCCCCGCCUCCCGCAGCCUGCCCCCUGCGGGCCGCCACGGCCGGGGCCGGGCCCCCCCCGGUGCCUCCACGCCGUCAGCACGGGGCGAGGAGCCGGGGUUGCCCGCCCCGCCCGCAUCCAGCCCCGUUUUCCCCGUCAGUCCGGCCUGGUGGCCCCGCUCGCGGCCCCCCGGUGCUGUGUGGGGAAGCCCUGCUCGUGUUCUGGUUGCGGCUCUUCUUCGCCCCACAGCAGGGACAGGCAGCAGCGAUCAGGGGUCUCAGAGGGAAGCAGCAUCCCUGAACUGCAGCCCGAGCCCAGCACCCCACGAUUUGUCCCCCUAA
Molecule: long non-coding RNA, 1170 nt
Filed under: Anser brachyrhynchus (Pink-footed goose)
Lineage: Eukaryota; Metazoa; Chordata; Aves; Anseriformes; Anatidae
Description: lncRNA (ENSABRG00000017417.1)
Source: RNAcentral